This 1372-nucleotide ribosomal RNA is filed under the name uncultured bacterium. Its description in RNAcentral is "bacterial SSU rRNA". It matches the Rfam family "Bacterial small subunit ribosomal RNA", at positions 28 to 1381 of the family's 1533-position model. The record is from RNAcentral.
GAUGAACGCUGGCGGCGUGCCUAAUACAUGCAAGUCGAGCGAACGGACGAGAAGCUUGCUUCUCUGAUGUUAGCGGCGGACGGGUGAGUAACACGUGGAUAACCUACCUAUAAGACUGGGAUAACUUCGGGAAACCGGAGCUAAUACCGGAUAAUAUUUUGAACCGCAUGGUUCAAAAGUGAAAGACGGUCUUGCUGUCACUUAUAGAUGGAUCCGCGCUGCAUUAGCUAGUUGGUAAGGUAACGGCUUACCAAGGCAACGAUGCAUAGCCGACCUGAGAGGGUGAUCGGCCACACUGGAACUGAGACACGGUCCAGACUCCUACGGGAGGCAGCAGUAGGGAAUCUUCCGCAAUGGGCGAAAGCCUGACGGAGCAACGCCGCGUGAGUGAUGAAGGUCUUCGGAUCGUAAAACUCUGUUAUUAGGGAAGAACAUAUGUGUAAGUAACUGUGCACAUCUUGACGGUACCUAAUCAGAAAGCCACGGCUAACUACGUGCCAGCAGCCGCGGUAAUACGUAGGUGGCAAGCGUUAUCCGGAAUUAUUGGGCGUAAAGCGCGCGUAGGCGGUUUUUUAAGUCUGAUGUGAAAGCCCACUGCUCAACCGUGGAGGGUCAUUGGAAACUGGAAAACUUGAGUGCAGAAGAGGAAAGUGGAAUUCCAUGUGUAGCGGUGAAAUGCGCAGAGAUAUGGAGGAACACCAGUGGCGAAGGCGACUUUCUGGUCUGUAACUGACGCUGAUGUGCGAAAGCGUGGGGAUCAAACAGGAUUAGAUACCCUGGUAGUCCACGCCGUAAACGAUGAGUGCUAAGUGUUAGGGGGUUUCCGCCCCUUAGUGCUGCAGCUAACGCAUUAAGCACUCCGCCUGGGGAGUACGACCGCAAGGUUGAAACUCAAAGGAAUUGACGGGGACCCGCACAAGCGGUGGAGCAUGUGGUUUAAUUCGAAGCAACGCGAAGAACCUUACCAAAUCUUGACAUCCUUUGACAACUCUAGAGAUAGAGCCUUCCCCUUCGGGGGACAAAGUGACAGGUGGUGCAUGGUUGUCGUCAGCUCGUGUCGUGAGAUGUUGGGUUAAGUCCCGCAACGAGCGCAACCCUUAAGCUUAGUUGCCAUCAUUAAGUUGGGCACUCUAAGUUGACUGCCGGUGACAAACCGGAGGAAGGUGGGGAUGACGUCAAAUCAUCAUGCCCCUUAUGAUUUGGGCUACACACGUGCUACAAUGGACAAUACAAAGGGCAGCGAAACCGCGAGGUCAAGCAAAUCCCAUAAAGUUGUUCUCAGUUCGGAUUGUAGUCUGCAACUCGACUACAUGAAGCUGGAAUCGCUAGUAAUCGUAGAUCAGCAUGCUACGGUGAAUACGUUCCCGGGUCU